CGUGCAGGCGGCCACCGCAAGUUGAAUGUGAAAUCCCCGGGCUUAACCCGGGAAGUGCGUUACAAGACUGCGGGGCUUGAAUACGGGAGAGGAUCGUGGAAUUCCUGGUGUAGAGGUGAAAUUCGUAGAUAUCAGGAGGAACACUCGUGGCGAAGGCGACGGUCUGGACCGAUAUUGACGCUGAGACGCGAAAGCGUGGGUAGCAAACA
This 209-nucleotide ribosomal RNA is filed under the name uncultured bacterium. Its description in RNAcentral is "partial 16S ribosomal RNA". It matches the Rfam family "Bacterial small subunit ribosomal RNA", at positions 568 to 774 of the family's 1533-position model. The record is from RNAcentral.